Molecule: unclassified non-coding RNA, 208 nt
Filed under: Roldana candicans
Lineage: Eukaryota; Viridiplantae; Streptophyta; Magnoliopsida; Asterales; Asteraceae
Description: Quercus candicans internal transcrobed spacer 2
Source: RNAcentral
AUCGUUGCCCCCCCAAACUCCGGUUCGGGCGGGGCGGAAGUUGGCCUCCCGUGCGUGCCUGCGCGCGCGGUUAGCCCAAAAGCGAGUCCUCGGCGACGAGCGCCACGACAAUCGGUGGUUUUCUUGCCCUCGUUCCUCGUCGUGCGCGCCCCGUCGCYCGAACGCGCUCCUCGACCCUCACGCGUCGUCGCAUCGACGGCGCUCCCAA